AUGGCACCGAGGUGGUCUAGCAGCAGCAGCAAGGGCGUCAGGGAGGUGAUGGCCGUGGCGGGACUGCUCGAGGGGGCCGAGCAGCAGGAGGAAGGAAGCAGCGGCGCUGGAGGGUCCUGGCCGGUGGAGGACGACGUGGAGAAGGCGUCGGGGAUGGACGCACCAGGCGGAGGAGGAGAAGGGGCGCGCCGGGGGGAGGCUGGGUCGUCGCCGGCGGCGCUGGUGGGGAUCGGGCGCGGGGGCUCCUCCCCUGGCUCGAGGUGGAAGAGAGGAAGAGAGGGAGACGAGGGGAGGAAGAGCGAUGGUUGCGAGGGAGAGAUGGGGAUCGGGCUGAAGGAGUCUGGCGGUGCGAGGGAGAUCGAAGAGAGGGAGAGGGUUCGAGCGGGAUGA
RNAcentral lists this ribosomal RNA (390 nucleotides) under Triticum aestivum (bread wheat). RNAcentral describes it as "partial small subunit ribosomal RNA". Lineage: Eukaryota; Viridiplantae; Streptophyta; Magnoliopsida; Poales; Poaceae. The record is from RNAcentral.